Gasterosteus aculeatus aculeatus (three-spined stickleback) is the source of this 624-nucleotide long non-coding RNA. The record is from Ensembl. Lineage: Eukaryota; Metazoa; Chordata; Actinopteri; Perciformes; Gasterosteidae.
UGUGUGUGUGUCAUGAGUAGAUCUGGAUUUGCUCCUGAGGGCUUGACGCGGCGUCCUGAUGGCGUCCCGGUGACGUGGCGUUCUGAUGGCGUCCUGUUGGUCUGCAGACAAGGAGAAGAGACGUGAGGAGGAUCAUCAGGAUGUGUCUGUGUGUACAUCUAAUUGUUAGUGUGUCUGUCUACAAGGAGAAGAGACGUGAGGAGGAUCAUCAGGAUGUGUCUGGGUGUACAUCUAAUUGUUAGUGUGUCUGUGUGUAGAUCUAAUUGUUAGUGUGUCUGUGUGUAGAUCUAAUUGUUAGUGUGUCUGUGUGUAGAUCUAAUUGUUAGUGUGUCUGUGUGUAGAUCUAAUUGUUAUUGUGUCUUUGUGUACAUCUAAAUAUUAAUGUGUCUUUGUGUACAUCUAAAUGUUAGUGUGUGUCUUUGUUUAGAACCAAAUGUUAGUGUGUCUGUGUGUACAUCUAAUUGUUAGUGUGUCUGUGUGUACAUCUAAUUGUUAUUGUGUCUUUGUGUACAUCUAAUUGUUAUUGUGUCUUAGUGUACAUCUAAAUAUUAGUGCGUGUCUGUGUGUAGAACCAAAUGAUAGUGUGUCUGUGUGUACAUCUAAAUGUUAGUGUGUCUGUGUGCA